This 75-nucleotide transfer RNA is filed under the name Candidatus Babela massiliensis. RNAcentral describes it as "tRNA-Phe (GAA) (tRNA-Phe-GAA-1-1)". It matches the Rfam family "tRNA". Rfam says of the family: Transfer RNA (tRNA) molecules are approximately 80 nucleotides in length. Their secondary structure includes four short double-helical elements and three loops (D, anti-codon, and T loops). RNAcentral also lists the same sequence under 1 other name. The record is from RNAcentral. Lineage: Bacteria; Candidatus Babeliae; Candidatus Babeliales; Candidatus Babeliaceae.
GCCGAGGUAGCUCAGUGGUAGAGCAGAAGCCUGAAGAGCUUCGUGUCGAUGGUUCGAUUCCGUCUCUCGGCACCA